GGGCCAGUGGCUAAGCCAGGUAUAGUGUCAGAUUAUGUCUGGCAUGCCUUCAGCGACAGGCUCUUAACUUGUAGAUGCUGGGACUUCCCCAGUCUCAAGGAAUGGUCGAGGGUUCAAAUCCCUCCUGGCCCGCCA
Molecule: transfer RNA, 135 nt
Filed under: Candidatus Thorarchaeota archaeon
Lineage: Archaea; Promethearchaeati; Candidatus Thorarchaeota
Description: tRNA-Lys
Rfam family: tRNA
About the family: Transfer RNA (tRNA) molecules are approximately 80 nucleotides in length.
Source: RNAcentral